CCCCUAGAUGUUCUGGGCCGCACGCGCGCUACACUGAACAGUUCAACAAGUCUUAACCUUGGCCGAUAGGUCUGGGUAAUCUUUGAACGCUGUUCGUGAUUGGGAUAGACCUUUGCAAUUAUGGGUCUUCAACGAGGAAUUCCUAGUAAACGCAAGUCAUCAGCUUGCAUUGAUUACGUCCCUGCCCUUUGUACACACCGCCCGUCGCACCUACCGAUUGAAUGGUCCGGUGAAAUCUCGAGACGGCGGCUUGGUCGCUUGCGUCCGACUGCUGAAACUUGAUUAAACCAUAUCAUUUAGAGGAAGGUGAAGUCGUANCA
This 320-nucleotide ribosomal RNA is filed under the name uncultured eukaryote. RNAcentral describes it as "partial 18S ribosomal RNA". It matches the Rfam family "Eukaryotic small subunit ribosomal RNA", at positions 1470 to 1796 of the family's 1831-position model. The record is from RNAcentral.